This 497-nucleotide ribosomal RNA is filed under the name uncultured bacterium. Its description in RNAcentral is "partial 16S ribosomal RNA". It matches the Rfam family "Bacterial small subunit ribosomal RNA", at positions 28 to 507 of the family's 1533-position model. The record is from RNAcentral.
GAUGAACGCUGGCGGCGUGCCUAAUACAUGCAAGUCGAGCGAACGGACGAGAAGCUUGCUUCUCUGAUGUUAGCGGCGGACGGGUGAGUAACACGUGGAUAACCUACCUAUAAGACUGGGAUAACUUCGGGAAACCGGAGCUAAUACCGGAUGAUAUUUUGAACCGCAUGGUUCAAAAGUGAAAGACGGUCUUGCUGUCACUUAUAGAUGGAUCCGCGCUGCAUUAGCUAGUUGGUAAGGUAACGGCUUACCAAGGCAACGAUGCAUAGCCUACCUGAGAGGGUGAUCGGCCACACUGGAACUGAGACACGGUCCAGACUCCUACGGGAGGCAGCAGUAGGGAAUCUUCCGCAAUGGGCGAAAGCCUGACGGAGCAACGCCGCGUGAGUGAUGAAGGUCUUCGGAUCGUAAAACUCUGUUAUUAGGGAAGAACAUAUGUGUAAGUAACUGUGCACAUCUUGACGGUACCUAAUCAGAAAGCCACGGCUAACUACGUG